CAGGCUAUGAAAUUGAUAUCUUCUGUGUUGCUGCUAAACUUGAGGGAGAUUCCUGCUUCAGCUUUAUAGUCCAACUUAUGCUCCCUUUCUGCUGAUAGGACUACGAAAUUGUAGCAUCAAAAGUUGCCGCAAAAUCAUUUUUGCUCUGAUGCUAGGCCGAAAUUACCGUUGCCGAGUAGAGCUUAUGUUGCAAAAAAGAGAAAACAGAAAUGAGUGAGCAACUAGCAGUUUGCUAAAGGAUACUGCCGAGAAGUUUGCAGUGGUUAGAAAUUCAUUUGUUGUCUAAUAUAUGCGUUAAAGUCUCACAUUCUGACAGAGGAUGCAUGACCGAUCACAUUCUGGUGAAAGACUAAAGGAUGCAUCUUGUUGAUUUGAUGAAAAAUGAUUUUGAAGGGAGACAGAGAGCCUGUGUGAUAAUUUUCAAUAUGUAUUUAUUUCCAUUUUGAUGUGCUUAUAUUUGUGUGAUCUAAUAAUAGAGGGAAUAAUACUUUAUUUGCCUUAACUAGAAAGUCCUGAAAUGCUUAUUAUUUUGAAAUGCAUGCUUUUCUCAGUGGAUCCUCAAUAACAUGAAGUCACUGUUUUUAUCACAAUUCACUCUAUUUCAAAGUACCUCGUAGUUUUCCAUGCUUCAGAAGCCAUUAAAGGUAUAUAUCUCUCUACUUACGAACUCUUUUAUAUAAUACUUCUAAGAAUAUGAUGUAUUGAUGGAUAAACUUGAGUAUUUGAUAUGAACCAAUUUCUUUUACUUGAUAGUUUCAAUUUCUAUGAGCCUAAAACAUGAAGUACUAAAUUCUCAGAAACAGAUUUUAGCUUCUUAGAAUGACUGCUGAAGAAUGCACCAAAAGGCAUAUCAUUGACAUCUAGUCUACCAGCAUCAAACAUGUUUAAGCAAUAAGCAUCAAGUUUAACCAGUUAUUUUUCCACUUAACACUAUCUUUGUUUGUAUUUUGUAUGAUGCAGGCAUUGAACCAAUGACCACUCCCAACCAUGGAGAAAUCAUAAAUAAAACUUUACAUAUGUUGGUUGGUCUACUUUAUAUAUGUUAGUGUUUUAUAUUCAUAUCAUCUUUCUUACUAUAUAUUCUUUCCAAAUUGGGUAUUUUCCCAACAAGAUAUAAGAGUACAAUAAGACUAGGCCUACGUGUGGAGUAUGAUUAGUGUCAUAGAAUCUCUGCUGAUGAUAGAUGGCAGUAGUCACUAACUGUUGCAAACGGGCAUGGUAACUGCCUAAGGGUCAAAAGACUUGUAUACACCUCUAUAGCUUGCUUAGCAAGCCAUCUACCUUCCCCAUAUUAUAUAUAUGAUAAGUGAUCUCUCUUUGUCUCACUAGAAUAACACAACAAUAACAGCAACAAAGCUGUAUUCUACUAGGUCAACUUAGUUAUAUGGAACAAAUGAGGCCAUUGCACCCUGUUGGACAUCAUGUCUAUAUACUCAAC
This 1438-nucleotide long non-coding RNA is filed under the name Arachis ipaensis. RNAcentral's name for it is "long non-coding RNA (AIPA_LNC000021)". Lineage: Eukaryota; Viridiplantae; Streptophyta; Magnoliopsida; Fabales; Fabaceae. The record is from RNAcentral.